Molecule: ribosomal RNA, 1552 nt
Filed under: Staphylococcus aureus
Lineage: Bacteria; Bacillati; Bacillota; Bacilli; Caryophanales; Staphylococcaceae
Also listed under: 15 other names
Description: bacterial SSU rRNA
Rfam family: Bacterial small subunit ribosomal RNA
Source: RNAcentral
AAAUUGAAGAGUUUGAUCAUGGCUCAGAUUGAACGCUGGCGGCAGGCCUAACACAUGCAAGUCGAACGGUAACAGGAAGCAGCUUGCUGCUUUGCUGACGAGUGGCGGACGGGUGAGUAAUGUCUGGGAAACUGCCUGAUGGAGGGGGAUAACUACUGGAAACGGUGGCUAAUACCGCAUAACGUCGCAAGACCAAAGAGGGGGACCUUCGGGCCUCUUGCCAUCAGAUGUGCCCAGAUGGGAUUAGCUUGUUGGUGAGGUAACGGCUCACCAAGGCGACGAUCCCUAGCUGGUCUGAGAGGAUGACCAGCCACACUGGAACUGAGACACGGUCCAGACUCCUACGGGAGGCAGCAGUGGGGAAUAUUGCACAAUGGGCGCAAGCCUGAUGCAGCCAUGCCGCGUGUAUGAAGAAGGCCUUCGGGUUGUAAAGUACUUUCAGCGGGGAGGAAGGUGUUGUGGUUAAUAACCGCAGCAAUUGACGUUACCCGCAGAAGAAGCACCGGCUAACUCCGUGCCAGCAGCCGCGGUAAUACGGAGGGUGCAAGCGUUAAUCGGAAUUACUGGGCGUAAAGCGCACGCAGGCGGUCUGUCAAGUCGGAUGUGAAAUCCCCGGGCUCAACCUGGGAACUGCAUUCGAAACUGGCAGGCUUGAGUCUUGUAGAGGGGGGUAGAAUUCCAGGUGUAGCGGUGAAAUGCGUAGAGAUCUGGAGGAAUACCGGUGGCGAAGGCGGCCCCCUGGACAAAGACUGACGCUCAGGUGCGAAAGCGUGGGGAGCAAACAGGAUUAGAUACCCUGGUAGUCCACGCCGUAAACGAUGUCUACUUGGAGGUUGUGCCCUUGAGGCGUGGCUUCCGGAGCUAACGCGUUAAGUAGACCGCCUGGGGAGUACGGCCGCAAGGUUAAAACUCAAAUGAAUUGACGGGGGCCCGCACAAGCGGUGGAGCAUGUGGUUUAAUUCGAUGCAACGCGAAGAACCUUACCUGGUCUUGACAUCCACAGAACUUUCCAGAGAUGGAUUGGUGCCUUCGGGAACUGUGAGACAGGUGCUGCAUGGCUGUCGUCAGCUCGUGUUGUGAAAUGUUGGGUUAAGUCCCGCAACGAGCGCAACCCUUAUCCUUUGUUGCCAGCGAUUAGGUCGGGAACUCAAAGGAGACUGCCAGUGAUAAACUGGAGGAAGGUGGGGAUGACGUCAAGUCAUCAUGGCCCUUACGACCAGGGCUACACACGUGCUACAAUGGCGCAUACAAAGAGAAGCGACCUCGCGAGAGCAAGCGGACCUCAUAAAGUGCGUCGUAGUCCGGAUUGGAGUCUGCAACUCGACUCCAUGAAGUCGGAAUCGCUAGUAAUCGUGGAUCAGAAUGCCACGGUGAAUACGUUCCCGGGCCUUGUACACACCGCCCGUCACACCAUGGGAGUGGGUUGCAAAAGAAGUAGGUAGCUUAACCUUCGGGAGGGCGCUUACCACUUUGUGAUUCAUGACUGGGGUGAAGUCGUAACAAGGUAACCGUAGGGGAACCUGCGGUUGGAUCACCUCCUUACCUUAAAGAA